This 82-nucleotide small RNA is filed under the name Sinorhizobium meliloti 2011. RNAcentral's name for it is "putative ncRNA". Lineage: Bacteria; Pseudomonadati; Pseudomonadota; Alphaproteobacteria; Hyphomicrobiales; Rhizobiaceae. The record is from RNAcentral.
GAUCGCGUAAUGUAUCGAGUGGAACGCCAUCGUGAGCCUGCCGCACGCGGCAACACGGAAGUCUCACAAUAGGCGCCCUGGU